GGGCGAUUAGCUCAGCUGGCGAGAGCAUCCGGUUUACACCCGGAAGGUCGGAGGUUCGAGUCCUUCAUCGCCCACCA
This 77-nucleotide transfer RNA is filed under the name Chloroflexota bacterium. RNAcentral describes it as "Chloroflexi bacterium tRNA-Val". It matches the Rfam family "tRNA". Rfam says of the family: Transfer RNA (tRNA) molecules are approximately 80 nucleotides in length. Their secondary structure includes four short double-helical elements and three loops (D, anti-codon, and T loops). The record is from RNAcentral. Lineage: Bacteria; Bacillati; Chloroflexota. RNAcentral also lists the same sequence under 1 other name.